This 497-nucleotide ribosomal RNA is filed under the name uncultured bacterium. RNAcentral describes it as "partial 16S ribosomal RNA". It matches the Rfam family "Bacterial small subunit ribosomal RNA", at positions 28 to 507 of the family's 1533-position model. The record is from RNAcentral.
GAUGAACGCUGGCGGCGUGCCUAAUACAUGCAAGUCGAGCGAACAGAUGAGGAGCUUGCUCCUCUGACGUUAGCGGCGGACGGGUGAGUAACACGUGUAUAACCUACCUAUAAGACUGGGAUAACUUCGGGAAACCGGAGCUAAUACCGGAUAAUAUAUUGAACCGCAUGGUUCAAUAGUGAAAGACGGUUUUGCUGUCACUUAUAGAUGGAUCCGCGCCGCAUUAGCUAGUUGGUAAGGUAACGGCUUACCAAGGCAACGAUGCGUAGCCGACCUGAGAGGGUGAUCGGCCACACUGGAACUGAGACACGGUCCAGACUCCUACGGGAGGCAGCAGUAGGGAAUCUUCCGCAAUGGGCGAAAGCCUGACGGAACAACGCCGCGUGAGUGAUGAAGGUCUUCGGAUCGUAAAACUCUGUUAUUAGGGAAGAACAAAUGUGUAAGUAACUAUGCACGUCUUGACGGUACCUAAUCAGAAAGCCACGGCUAACUACGUG